Molecule: ribosomal RNA, 910 nt
Filed under: Achromobacter kerstersii
Lineage: Bacteria; Pseudomonadati; Pseudomonadota; Betaproteobacteria; Burkholderiales; Alcaligenaceae
Description: bacterial SSU rRNA
Rfam family: Bacterial small subunit ribosomal RNA
Source: RNAcentral
UGCAAGUCGAACGGCAGCACGGACUUCGGUCUGGUGGCGAGUGGCGAACGGGUGAGUAAUGUAUCGGAACGUGCCUAGUAGCGGGGGAUAACUACGCGAAAGCGUAGCUAAUACCGCAUACGCCCUACGGGGGAAAGCAGGGGAUCGCAAGACCUUGCACUAUUAGAGCGGCCGAUAUCGGAUUAGCUAGUUGGUGGGGUAACGGCUCACCAAGGCGACGAUCCGUAGCUGGUUUGAGAGGACGACCAGCCACACUGGGACUGAGACACGGCCCAGACUCAUACGGGAGGCAGCAGUGGGGAAUUUUGGACAAUGGGUGAAACCCUGAUCCAGCCAUCCCGCGUGUGCGAUGAAGGCCUUCGGGUUGUAAAGCACUUUUGGCAGGAAAGAAACGUCAUGGGCUAAUACCCCGUGAAACUGACGGUACCUGCAGAAUAAGCACCGGCUAACUACGUGCCAGCAGCCGCGGUAAUACGUAGGGUGCAAGCGUUAAUCGGAAUUACUGGGCGUAAAGCGUGCGCAGGCGGUUCGGAAAGAAAGAUGUGAAAUCCCAGAGCUUAACUUUGGAACUGCAUUUUUAACUACCGAGCUAGAGUGUGUCAGAGGGAGGUGGAAUUCCGCGUGUAGCAGUGAAAUGCGUAGAUAUGCGGAGGAACACCGAUGGCGAAGGCAGCCUCCUGGGAUAACACUGACGCUCAUGCACGAAAGCGUGGGGAGCAAACAGGAUUAGAUACCCUGGUAGUCCACGCCCUAAACGAUGUCAACUAGCUGUUGGGGCCUUCGGGCCUUGGUAGCGCAGCUAACGCGUGAAGUUGACCGCCUGGGGAGUACGGUCGCAAGAUUAAAACUCAAAGGAAUUGACUGGGACCCGCACAACCGGUGGAUGAUGUGGAUUAAUUCAAUGCAACGC